GGUUACUGCUAUCGGUGUUCGCCUAAGCCAUGCGAGUCAUAUGUAGCAAUACAUGGCGUACUGCUCAGUAACACGUGGAUAACCUGCCCUUGGGUCCGGCAUAACCCCGGGAAACUGGGGAUAAUUCCGGAUAACGCAUAUAUGCUGGAAUGCUUUCUGCGUAAAAUGGAUUCGUCUGCCCAAGGAUGGGUCUGCGGCCUAUCAGGUAGUAGUGGGUGUAAUGUACCUACUAGCCUACGACGGGUACGGGUUGUGAGAGCAAGAGCCCGGAGAUGGAUUCUGAGACAUGAAUCCAGGCCCUACGGGGCGCAGCAGGCGCGAAAACUUUACAAUGCGGGAAACCGUGAUAAGGGGACACCGAGUGCCAGCAUCCUAUGCUGGCUGUCCGGGUGUGUAAAAUACACCUGUCAGCAAGGGCCGGGCAAGACCGGUGCCAGCCGCCGCGGUAACACCGGCGGCCCGAGUGGUGAUCGUGAUUAUUGGGUCUAAAGGGUCCGUAGCCGGUUUGGUCAGUCCUCCGGGAAAUCUGACAGCUCAACUGUUAGGCUUUCGGAGGAUACUGCCAGACUUGGAACCGGGAGAGGUAAGAGGUACUACAGGGGUAGGAGUGAAAUCUUGUAAUCCCUGUGGGACCACCUGUGGCGAAGGCGUCUUACCAGAACGGGUUCGACGGUGAGGGACGAAAGCUGGGGGCACGAACCGGAUUAGAUACCCGGGUAGUCCCAGCCGUAAACGAUGCUCGCUAGGUGUCAGGCAUGGCGCGACCGUGUCUGGUGCCGCAGGGAAGCCGUGAAGCGAGCCACCUGGGAAGUACGGCCGCAAGGCUGAAACUUAA
RNAcentral lists this ribosomal RNA (835 nucleotides) under uncultured archaeon. RNAcentral's name for it is "bacterial SSU rRNA". It matches the Rfam family "Archaeal small subunit ribosomal RNA", at positions 21 to 859 of the family's 1478-position model. The record is from RNAcentral.